Molecule: long non-coding RNA, 1055 nt
Organism: Nicotiana attenuata
Lineage: Eukaryota; Viridiplantae; Streptophyta; Magnoliopsida; Solanales; Solanaceae
Exons: 4
Source: RefSeq, a predicted model, not a curated record
AGAAAGAUACUUAAGGUGUUGGAAAUAAAGUUGGAUUUAAUUUUGCCUCAAAAAGGAAGGGAGACAGUGUACUUAGGCCAUCGCCCCAGUGGCCGUGUCUGUAAAAUUCAAGGGAAAUCACAUUGGACGUGUCGCGUCCAAGAUCGCGCGCACCAGUUAAGUGUUAUAUUGUAACACUUCAAUUACUUAAACUCUAAACUCUUCUGCGCGCACCAGUUAAGUGUUAUAUUGUAACACUUCAAAUACUUAAACUCUAAACUCUUCUCCCGGUCCUUCUCUUUCAUACCUAACGCAAUUCCUCCACCUUGCACCACCACUGCCUCCAACUCCGAGCAGCACAGGUGCGAGCUCGCAGAAGCGGAAAGUAAGUCGCAAAAACGGCCAAGGAAGUGAGGAAGCAUAAGGUCGCAGGUGCAAUGGUUUUCCCGCACCUGCGUGACCGCAGAUGUGGCAGAAGGACCGCAAAAGCAGAUUUGGCCUUAUAGCUUGACUCCGCAGAAGAGGAGAUUAAAGCGAGUCCGCAGCAGCGGAAAUUUCGACGCAAGUGCGGAGUUGGCCGCAGAAGCGGGCUCUGAGGCGCACCUGCGAGAUCGCAGAAACGGCUAAGUUGUCGCAAGUGCGUAAAGCUUGGGCAGAAACUAUAAAUACGAGGGUUCCGAGAUUUUCCACCAUUUCUAUCAUUUUGAGCUCGGAUUUUGGAGGUUUUGAGAGGAUUUUCAAGAGGGAUUCUUGAGAUUCGGGACUUUUGGAUGACGACUUGCGAGGCAGGGGCAUUUUGGAGUAGAGUCUUGGCUCGGGUUGAGAUCCAGGUGUUUCCGGACAUGGUGGGCAUUGAUAUUGUGCACGGUUGAUCUUUGGAGAUUUACGAGGUAGCUGCACGACAUUCGUAGUCCUUGUUUCUCCUUCCUUAUCUUUUCUUUAUUUGUACUUUGAUACAAACUCUCGUAGACAUUUCUUCCUAGACUGGUUGUAUAGAUACUCAUGAGCUCAAUGACACCCUGAUUUAGGAGUUGUUUUCUGCACAUGUGUUUGGGUUUUACCCCAUUUUUCUGAAA